RNAcentral lists this ribosomal RNA (253 nucleotides) under uncultured bacterium. RNAcentral's name for it is "partial 16S ribosomal RNA". It matches the Rfam family "Bacterial small subunit ribosomal RNA", at positions 524 to 776 of the family's 1533-position model. The record is from RNAcentral.
UACGAAGGGGGCUAGCGUUGCUCGGAAUCACUGGGCGUAAAGGGCGCGUAGGCGGCCUGCUAAGUCGGAUGUGAAAUCCCUCGGCUCAACCGAGGAACUGCAUCCGAUACUGGCGGGCUUGAAUCCGGGAGAGGGAUGUGGAAUUCCAGGUGUAGCGGUGAAAUGCGUAGAUAUCUGGAGGAACACCGGUGGCGAAGGCGGCAUCCUGGACCGGUAUUGACGCUGAGGCGCGAAAGCUAGGGGAGCAAACGGG